CAAGAUUUCCUGCUCCUGGCUCAGUCCACUCUUGACUGGCACGUGAGCCACCAAAGUAUCCACGGUGGUCUUCGCAGUGGAGAGACCUCCUGAGCCGG
This is a non-coding RNA of Chelonoidis abingdonii (Abingdon island giant tortoise), 98 nucleotides long. Lineage: Eukaryota; Metazoa; Chordata; Testudines; Testudinidae. The record is from RefSeq and is a predicted model, not a curated record.